This 253-nucleotide ribosomal RNA is filed under the name uncultured bacterium. Its description in RNAcentral is "partial 16S ribosomal RNA". It matches the Rfam family "Bacterial small subunit ribosomal RNA", at positions 524 to 776 of the family's 1533-position model. The record is from RNAcentral.
UACGGAGGGUGCGAGCGUUGUCCGGAAUCACUGGGCGUAAAGGGCGCGUAGGCGGCGCGGGCAGUCAACGGUGAAAGCUUGGGGCUCAACCCCGAGUCGGCCGUCGAUACUCCCGGGCUCGAGCACUGUAGAGGCAGGUGGAAUUCCGGGUGUAGCGGUGGAAUGCGUAGAGAUCCGGAAGAACACCGGUGGCGAAGGCGGCCUGCUGGGCAGUAGCUGACGCUGAGGCGCGACAGCGUGGGGAGCAAACAGG